UAGCCAUCCUAUUUGCACACAUGAUUCCAUUUUAGUGCUAGAAAAAAACGCUAGAGAAGGACCCCAUGGAUAAGUACCUAUUUGUUAAAGGAACAAUAGCAAACCACACCUACACCUUCACAUCCAUAUACUACCCUAAUCGGAAACCUCUUUUCCUUCAUAAAACUAUAUAUAUCUCCUAGAAAAAUUCAGGAAAGGCCUAGUGAUACUAGCUUAACAUGCCCCUAGACCCCAGACUGGACACUUCUAAAGGCCAUUGCACCAUUCCCACACACUCUGUCCGGCAAGCUAGGGUAGCUUUAAGCAACGCGGGGCAGGUUGACUUCUGGAGGGUUGCACGCCCCGAUGAUCGAGACUACACCUGCUACUUCACCCCCACAAACAAUACAGCCGGAUCGACUACCACUUCAUGGCGCAGGAAUAUCUUGAGCAACUGAUCGCCUCAGAGAUCAAAACUAUUGGCGAAUCAGACCACGCCCCGGGUUAAAUCCCCUCCGUUUAAACCCCGCAAACUCCAAUGGAAACUGAACAAAAAUAUGCUGAGCAAUCCAGAAGACAUCGAACAAACAACACAAAUGCUCACACAAUACUUCGAUGAAUGAAACACUAGGUAUGACCUCAUUGACAAUAUGGGAAGCACACAAAUGUAUGGUCCGAGGCCAUUAAAUAGCAGUCGGUACCUGACGCAAAAAGGAAAGGAUAGAGUGUAC
This is a non-coding RNA of Pelobates cultripes (western spadefoot toad), 710 nucleotides long. Lineage: Eukaryota; Metazoa; Chordata; Amphibia; Anura; Pelobatidae. The record is from the annotation of a GenBank genome assembly.